Molecule: ribosomal RNA, 396 nt
Filed under: uncultured bacterium
Lineage: Bacteria
Description: partial 16S ribosomal RNA
Rfam family: Bacterial small subunit ribosomal RNA
Source: RNAcentral
CCUACGGGAGGCAGCAGUGAGGAAUAUUGGUCAAUGGGCGGGAGCCUGAACCAGCCAAGUCGCGUGAGGGACGACGGUCCUAUGGAUUGUAAACCUCUUUUGUCGGGGAACAAAGGCGCCCACGGGUGGGCGGAUGAGUGUACCCGAAGAAAAAGCAUCGGCCAACUCCGUGCCAGCAGCCGCGGUAAUACGGAGGAUGCGAGCGUUAUCCGGAUUUAUUGGGGUAAAAGGGUGCGUAGGCGGACAGUCAAGUUGGCGGUAAUAAUGCGGUGCUAAACGCCGUCCAGCCGUUGAAACUGGCAGGCUAGAGUGGGCGAGAGGUGUGCAGAAUGCGUGGUGUAGCGGUGAAAUGCAUAGAUAUGACGCAGAACACCGAUUGCGAAGGCGGCAUACCGG